GGAGGAGUGUCCGAGUGGUUUAAGGAACCGGUCUUGAAAACCGGCGUGCGUGAAAGCGUACCGUGGGUUCGAAUCCCACCUCCUCCGCCA
RNAcentral lists this transfer RNA (90 nucleotides) under Ensifer fredii. RNAcentral describes it as "Sinorhizobium fredii tRNA-Ser". It matches the Rfam family "tRNA". From Rfam's summary of the family: Transfer RNA (tRNA) molecules are approximately 80 nucleotides in length. Their secondary structure includes four short double-helical elements and three loops (D, anti-codon, and T loops). RNAcentral also lists the same sequence under 3 other names. The record is from RNAcentral. Lineage: Bacteria; Pseudomonadati; Pseudomonadota; Alphaproteobacteria; Hyphomicrobiales; Rhizobiaceae.